This 913-nucleotide long non-coding RNA is filed under the name Homo sapiens (human). Its description in RNAcentral is "non-protein coding lnc-AHI1-4:1". Lineage: Eukaryota; Metazoa; Chordata; Mammalia; Primates; Hominidae. The record is from RNAcentral.
GACCCCACCCCCCACACAAUACAUUAUGUCAGAAAGAUUAAAUGGCUUAACACCAUCAGGCCCAAAAUGACAGAGUCAUGUUCAGGGCCUACAUUUCUUUUUUUCUUCCUUUCAUUUUUAGAGAUGGGGUCUUGCUUUGUUGCCCAGGCUGGAGUACAGUGGCACAAUCAUAGCUCACUACCACCUGGAACUCCUGGGCUCAAGCGAUCCUCCUGCCUUGGCCUCCCAAAGUGCUGGGAUUACAAGCAUGAGCUGCUGCACCCGGCCCCACAUUUCUGAGUGCUAGUUCACUUCUCAGAUGCACCUCACAUUGUUUUCCCUGAGCCUUCUGAAGCUCCCCUUCAACCAUCAAGAAACCCUCAUGGUGCUGAGCAUGGCAGCUCAUACCUAUAAUUCCAGCACUCUGGGAGGCUGAGGCAGGAGAAUCUCUUGAGGGCAGGAGUUUGAGACCAGCCUAGGUAACAUAGCGAGAGCCUGUCUCUACAAAAAAUAAAAAAAUUAGCUGGGUGAGGCAGCACGUGCCUAUCAUCCCAGCUACUCCAAAGGCUGAGAUGGGAGGAUUGCUUGAGUCCAGGAGUUUGAGCCUGCAGUGAGCCAUGAUUGUACCACUGCACUCCAGCCUGGGCAACAGAGUAAGACCCUGUCUCGAAACAAAACGAAAAAAAACCAACUAUGGGUUUGGGUUUCAGACCAGCCUGAAGCUAAGCCUGCUCACGGUGCUCUCGGGACAUUUGCCUUCAUCUCGCUGCAUCUAGAGCAAACAGGAAGGUGUUAGGAGAGGCAGGAAGGCGGGGUUUCCAUCAGCAUCAGGCAGGAGGGGACAAAGGAGUUUUUCAUGCCUGGCAGAAUCCUCACUCUAAGAUGGUAGGAAUGUACAGUUACAGCUAUAUAUCCCUUUGGGAAACUUUUUGGG